GGGUGAUGAAAUGUUUUGUGCCAGAAAAAAUCCCACAAAGGGUUUAUACACAGCUCUAAAAGGAGCGUUGGCCAAGGACUCCUAGGAUUCGGACAAAUAUUUGAGAAAGGCGAUGACGAACGUGAAAAACAAACUAACAAAA
Drosophila subpulchrella is the source of this 142-nucleotide long non-coding RNA. RefSeq lists it as uncharacterized. The transcript is spliced from 2 exons. The record is from RefSeq and is a predicted model, not a curated record. NCBI's taxonomy places the organism in Eukaryota, Metazoa, Arthropoda, Insecta, Diptera, Drosophilidae.